CUGUUAUGUAAUUUUAAAAUAUGUAAUUUGUUGAUUAAGUAUUUAAAGAUGUUUAUAUGGGGCACACACAUGUGGUCUAGAGGCAGAGCAAGGUUGUGGUGAUUGAGGUCAUGGGUUCAAGUCCCCACACCCCUCUAAAAAAAUGUGCAGUUCCUGCCAACUCUUGUCUUUAAAGAUGGCUAAAAUAUCAUUCUAGUAACAUAAACAUAAGUGAUCAUUUCAUGUGGUAACUCCUAGGGGCAGGUUCUGUUUGGUCAGGUAAUCUAAUGGGAGUGGGCUUUUGCAAAUUCUGGAUACAUGGGUCUUUGAAGGUGUAGUUUGUUACUUGAGUUUGUACAUGAAAUAGUGCUAGGAUUUCUUUUGUUGGAUAUGUGUUCCAAACAGUUGAUUGGUGAAUGCAACAUUGCAUCGCAUUAAAAUGAAUUGUUUGUACUAAUUAUGUAAACUGGAAUUUUUUUAUAGUGAGACAUGCUAAGCCUUUAUAUGCAUCUGGAAUCAUACGAGGAUGUGUUCUCCAUGAACUGAAUGAAUUAUGAAGGAAAUAUUCUGUAGAACUCUCCAUUUAACCUUUCCAUUUCGUCUGUCUUGUUUUCUUAUGUAUUUACAGCACAAAAGGUAUACAGAUUUAUAGUUAAAAGCUAACUUGUACUGAAAAAUAUGUGCAAACUGUUAACUCAUACUGAAUAAGUGAGCUCUGUUUUUUAUGCAAUAUUUUGAAUCUUAAUUGGGUAUUAAUCUGAUGAUCUCUACUAGUAGGAAUUUCCUAUGGCAUGACGUAGCCACUGCCAUUUUUUUUUGAGUAUCUAUCAGCGAUGUGGGAACUGGAAGGAAUUAUCAAACAACUUAUCCUUUGUUCAUGUUUAUUCAAGGCUUAAGACCAUCCAUUCUUGAUCUUCUGUUCUUAAUCAUAGCAGGGUGGUGCAGGUACAUGGAGUGAUGGGAAGCUCGUGACCAGGAUAGGAAGAAAUGCUGAUGCUGUUCAGGCUGUUAUGAAAACAUUUGUUCAGUUUGGGGGCCCUGCAAACAUUUAAUUGAUGGGAAACCUCACUUGGGUACUGAUAAGCUUGUUCCCUUGCUGCAGAAUUUCAGGCACCACUUAAGAAUUGGGUGUAUUUUUGAACAUAUCUAUCUUCGGUUACCAUAAGAUUUAAUGCUGGAGUAGAUGACAUUACAGUGGAAGAUGGGGAGGUGAAAGGAAUUGUGGCUUCUGAUUCAGGACUACAGCCAGGUUCUGUUGACCAGGAACUACCAUUUGAUGCGGUUGUUUUGGCAGCUGGCCACUCUGCUGGUGAUACAUACAGUAUGCUUCAGCAGCAUAAUGGAGGUGAUACAUACAGUAUGCUUCAGCAGCAUAAUGGAGAUCUAAUCCCAAAAAGUUUUGCUUUCAUGAAAAAAGCAGGUUCUUCUUACAGGUUGACUUAAUUUCGGUAAACUACCGAAUUGAGCAUCCUCAAGUACUGAUAAACAGUAUCCAAUACUCUGAAUUGGCUGCUGAAGUAAACAAAGGACGUGGCCGGAUACCUGUAGCAGAUCACUAGAUAGUGAAGUCUAUCGGUGAAGGAGAUGAAGAGAAUGAUCUAGAUAUAGCCGAACAAAGCCACAGUUGUUACUCUUUUUGCAUGUGCCCUGGUGGACAGGUUGUUCUAACUAGCACAAAUCCAUCAGAAUUGUGCAUCAAUGGCAUGUCAUUUCCACGGCGUGCAUCGAAAUGGGCAAACUCAGGUCUGGUGGUCACUGUAUCAUCUAAUGAUUUCAAAACAUUUCAGUCCCUAGGUCCUCUCGCAGGUGUUGAAUUCCAGGUACUUGUUACAGGAAUUAUCUAAGAUAACAACAUAAACACUUUAAUCAUUACUGUAUAAUGCAUAAUGUCUACUUAAAUU
This is an RNA transcript of Phragmites australis (common reed), 1880 nucleotides long. RefSeq lists it as uncharacterized. Lineage: Eukaryota; Viridiplantae; Streptophyta; Magnoliopsida; Poales; Poaceae. The record is from RefSeq and is a predicted model, not a curated record. The transcript has 6 exons.